CCAAAUGGGCUCCCGUGUAUUUCACAGAGCUGGAAAAGGGAAAUUUGCUGUGUUCUUAACCAGAGCUCUUAUUUUCUCAUUUUUGUCACAGGAAUGACCCAGAACAGGAAGGAAGGCUGCCCUCCAGAGCGUGCAUGAGAGACAUCUCCAGACCCCAGGGAGACAUGGUGUGGAGUUGAAAGCUGCUUCUGAAUCUUCCCAGAUUCCCUGCUUCUGCCACCCCCAUUUAACUCGGACAACAGGAUUUCUCAGUCUCAGCUGUGCUUGGCUCCCACUUCACAGGCUGUCAAAUGACUGCUCCAGAAGUACAUAAAAAUAAGAGCCUUGAAUGGGUGGUGACUCCCCAGGGUGCUCCAUGAUCCGGAAGACAAACUGGUGGUGCCGCCUCUGGGGGUACAGGUCUGCCUCUCCUCCCAGGACACAUCCACUCCUGUAUAUCUCAUCAGCCAGAGAACAUCAGGAGCCGUGCAAUUUGUUGCUGCCCCACCUUGGGGUUUCCCACUGGGGCCCCCAGCACUGAUUCACGGGAAUACUCUACAGUACCCCAGCAGUUCCUCACAGGAUGCAAUUGUCACUGCCGUUGGAAGCCAAUCAACGCGUUGUGAGUGGGAGCCCGCUGGUGCUUUCCAAUGGUCCUUGAUUAAAAAGGAAGCUCUUGGCUAUCUUCAAGCAGCAGGAGAGGAAACAGCACGGGUGAAGCUUAUCUUGGAGCACUGGAAUAUUUAUAAUAUUUUGCUGAUACCUGGAUGCAGUGGAAUUCAAGCAUGA
RNAcentral lists this long non-coding RNA (768 nucleotides) under Anas platyrhynchos platyrhynchos (common mallard). RNAcentral describes it as "lncRNA (ENSAPLG00000021835.1)". The record is from RNAcentral. Lineage: Eukaryota; Metazoa; Chordata; Aves; Anseriformes; Anatidae.